AGCUCCAAUAGCGUAUAUUAAAGUUGUUGUGGUUAAAAAGCUCGUAUUUGGAUCUCGGCGGUCUGGGGGCGGUUCGCUUGUUUGGGGGCUCCUGCUCUAUGGGCCGGGGUUUUCCCAGAGGUCUCGGGGGGCUCUUAACCGGGGGUCCUGCGAUGCUGGCAGGUUUACUUUGAAAAAAUUAGAGUGCUCAAAGCAGGCUUUUACGCCUGAAUAUUCGUGCAUGGAAUAAUAGAAUAGGAAGUCGUUUCUAUUUUGUUGGUUUUCGGAAAUCGACUUAAUGAUUAAUAGGGACAGUCGGGGGCAUUUGUAUUCAAACGACAGAGGUGAAAUUCUUGGACCGUUUGAAGACAAACUACUGCGAAAGCAUUUGCCAAGAAUGUUUUCA
Molecule: ribosomal RNA, 385 nt
Filed under: marine copepod environmental sample
Lineage: Eukaryota; Metazoa; Arthropoda; Copepoda
Description: partial small subunit ribosomal RNA
Rfam family: Eukaryotic small subunit ribosomal RNA
Source: RNAcentral